UGGGGAAUAUUGGACAAUGGGCGAAAGCCUGAUCCAGCCAUGCCGCGUGUGUGAAGAAGGUCUUCGGAUUGUAAAGCACUUUAAGUUGGGAGGAAGGGCAUUAACCUAAUACGUUAGUGUUUUGACGUUACCGACAGCAUAAGCACCGGCUAACUCUGUGCCAGCAGCCGCGGUAAUACAGAGGGUGCAAGCGUUAAUCGGAAUUACUGGGCGUAAAGCGCGCGUAGGUGGUUUGUUAAGUUGGAUGUGAAAUCCCCGGGCUCAACCUGGGAACUGCAUUCAAAACUGACUGACUAGAGUAUGGUAGAGGGUGGUGGAAUUUCCUGUGUAGCGGUGAAAUGCGUAGAUAUAGGAAGGAACACCAGUGGCGAAGGCGACCACCUGGACUAAUACUGACACUGAGGUGCGAAAGCGUGGGGAGCAAACA
This 427-nucleotide ribosomal RNA is filed under the name uncultured bacterium. RNAcentral's name for it is "partial 16S ribosomal RNA". It matches the Rfam family "Bacterial small subunit ribosomal RNA", at positions 355 to 774 of the family's 1533-position model. The record is from RNAcentral.